Molecule: long non-coding RNA, 3826 nt
Filed under: Sorghum bicolor (sorghum)
Lineage: Eukaryota; Viridiplantae; Streptophyta; Magnoliopsida; Poales; Poaceae
Description: long non-coding RNA (SBIC_LNC008266)
Source: RNAcentral
UAUAAAUGUUGUCAUGUUACCUUUGUCUAUUUACUAGUAAGUGUUAGUUUGGAAGUACUGCACAUACUUCUAUUGGCUUUUAAAUUAAGCAUGGUGCUUAGGUUAAACAGCCUUCCUUAAUCUGAUUAGACAUGGAGUCUAGUUCGGUUAUUGAACUAAAAACUGCUUAUGUAGACAUUGGUAUAUUUUUGUCGGACUAACCCCUGCAGAAAAACUUUCAAUAUCGAUUUGGGAAGUCCUGAGAUAAACUCACAUCAGAGACGAAGAGAGUGACAUAUGAAGUUUAACAAUUUGCAAAAGAAGAACAUAGCUCAUUCAUCAUAGAGAGAUGAUCCAUGGAGGGUGCCACAAACACGAUGCACAACCGCUAAGAAAGGAAAGCUUCCACAAGGUGAUAUUGUACCAUCACACUUCAAGUAAGGUAACACCUUAAGGUACUUGACUAUCACUUUUAUAAGCUUCUCCUUGGUCCUGGCAUUCAUAUAAAUAAAAGAGACAAACAUGUAUUGAUUUACAACUCUAGAUUAACCAACCCAACUGAUUCAACAUGUUUAGUCCUUUAAUCCUUGUUCUUAGUACUACCUCCAUGAUCCCACACUCCUAAUCAUAUGAGCUAAAAUGUUACACAUUCAAUCAUUGAGAGAUAUAAAGAAAAAGACAUAUACAUAGAUAGAUUAUCUUUCCAUAAGGUUGAGCGAUCUGAUCUGACAAAUGUUAUAAGUGCUACACUCAUGAACUUUUCAUCCAUCAACUUUGUCUUGCUCACUAUGCUUAGGGUUAGAGAAGAACAAAUACACUUUAGGUUCUGUUGGUGUUUUCCACCAACAGGACCCAUGCACUUGAUCUCUGCCUUGUCUCUAUGAGCAGGUACACUUUGAGCAAAACACGCAGGAGUUUUAUAACUCUCAGACUCUACCAUGUGAAGGACCUCGAUCUACGAGCACAAACACACUGAGCAGGAUACUGCCAACGCCGCACUUCGAACUGCUGGGCAAACGAAAAACAUGGGUGACACCGUAUCAAGAGGUGCAGACGUCAAGGUCCGCACCAUAAUCAAAUGACACACCUGAAGAAUGAACACGGUGAGAAGUCUUGUUAAGAAGACUUAAAACAUUGAACCCUUGCCAAAAGGUAAGAUCAGUAGUUAUCCAUAUUUAUCCUUUCUGCAUUCCCUUUUCCCUUUAAUUAUUUACUUUCCUUAAAUAGAUUAUUAGUUAAUCAUGCUAUCUUGAAAAGAAAAUAAAAAUGUUAAAAAAAUACUAAGCCCCAUGUGAGUAUACGAGUGGCAUAAAACCCAUAAGUACCUUCACUGUGGUGGCAUAAAAAUAAAAUAAAUAUUUCUUUUCUGCUUUAUAAAAUAAAAAUAUAAAAACAGGGAGUAAUAUUUAUUGAGGAAGCUCAACAUGAUGAAGGCUAGAUAUUUAUGCUAACACUUAAUUAGUUCCACAAGCUUUGUUGUCUAUUUGAGCUCCACAGAAUUUAAGAAUCAAGAAGACUAGCAGACGGAGGACAUUCUAAUCGCUGUCAGAAUGCUGCUGACUUUCAAAUACACCUCUGCCACCUGCUAGCUACAUCAAGAGAAAUUACGUCAAAAUUCAGCUUGGGGGAGAGCACCCCCAUUUAUCUCGCUAAGUAUUUCUACCUAUCUUUAUACUUAUAUUAUAUUAGAAUAUUAAAAUACAUAAACUAUGAAAAACCAAAUAAAGAUUUUGUGCUUAUAUAUAUAUCUUUUGCUUAGUGUGUUUAAUAAAUAAAGCGGCUAUGCUAAUCUGAAUCUUAAUAAUAAAACUCUAGCAUGGAUAUGAUGAAUAGUUGCUCUGCCUAAUUUGCAAAUUUGAAGUUCUCUCUCAAGUUUAGACAUAACUGUUAUAAUUUAAAGCUUGCCCUAGAUAUAAACUUGUGGGAUAAAAACUUGAUCUGAAAUCUAAGUUGUUAACGGAUAUGAUAUGGGAAGGUUGAGCUGCUGUUUUUCUGUUCCUGGAGAUGCUAGAAUUCUGGAGAAUUUUAUCUUUGAAAAAUCUUUAAAAUAUUACAUGAUGAGUUCCUGUAUGAUGAAAGUUUAAAUUCCUACCACAACCAUAUAUAUACAUGCUUGCUAGACUUUGAGCCACACAUUUAUUAUUUACUGCUUAUGAGCAUUGAGUGUGGUCAAGCUAUGUAGACCCUUAGGAGCUUGUCAUGUGAUUAAAUCAAGAUUCACUUGCACGUUCACUCAUAUAUGCUACUUCUACACCGGAAGUACCAUCCACAUAUAUGCAUCCAUGACCAUCUCUAGAACCACCCAAAAAUAUUUUACUCCUAAUUCGGGAGAGAAUAGCCAAAAAUAUUUCUGUUUUCCCUUGUGAAAUAAAUGCUCAAGUUAUCUUGCUACUACCACUUGCUAUAUUAUCUCAAGAGAUGAGUGCUCUAAAAAAAGAAAAAAAAAUAUACGAGGAAAUAAAAAGGGGCAAGUGCCCGGAACCUCGAAAAAAAAGAGAGAGUGAGACGAGAGGUAAAAAUGGACAAAUGUCCGACAGUAGAAUUAGGGGUACAUGAUACCCACCUGAGAGAAAAGAAAAAGAAAAUAUAGAGCAUCUCAUUCCUCUCAAAAACCUUCAAAGUGCAAGAAAGGUAUGUAUCCCCUCAAAAGAGCAAAAGUAGAAUUAGACUUUCACCAUUGUUAUCACCAUCAUCACCAUACACCAUUCAUUCACCACACAUGCACAUCUUGAUUUGACUUAUUGACUUGUUUCUCUGGAUCCAUGGUUUGACUAUACAAUAAAUGUCUUGUAAGUAUGUAUACUUUAUCUCCCACCUAUGAGCUCCAGAUAUUAAAGCCUUAUUAGAGUAGGGUGAGAGAGAAGGCAAUGUCACUAUGCCUUAUACCACAAAUACCACAUAUCUUGAGAGAAGGCAUAUACCAUCACUGCCUUGGUAAGGAUCCAGAAAUACCACAAAAGAGAGAUUUAGAGAGUCAUACAAGGAAUCUCUGAGUUUUAUUUGAAAAUCUGCAAAAACUCCAGAGCUAUAGCUGAUCAAGAAUAAGAGACAUGGCACUUGGCUAGACUGUUCUAUCUUUUAACUACUCAAGACAGAAGUGACCGUUACAAGUCCCAUGGUGAAAGGUAAAGUAAGUAAGUUUUAGUUCUUGACAGUUUACUCUAACUCAGAGAUGAGAUCUUAUUUAAAAUCAUGUGUACCGUCAAAUUUUUAAGAUAUUGCAACAACUUCUUAUCCAUUGCUGAGUCUAUCCUUGCUCAGGGACGAGCAAGAGGUAAGCUUGGGGGAGUUUGUUGACGGUACUUAAGUAUCAAAUUUAAUUAUCAAAUAAACAAAGAAAAGGAUCCAAAUGAAAUCAACAUCUAGACUUAGGAUUUUAUCUGACAGAAUUCCAUGAGUUUUGGUGUUUGUCUAUUUCUGCAGGGGGUUAUCAGGAAAUAUGGAAGAAAGGCCCACACGUUGCGAUUACAUAGAGAUAUUAACGUGCCGUGCAAUUAUCUUACAUCUAGAAGACUCCAGAAGCCACGAGACCGAAGCGGAGGCGAAACGGGGCCAGAGGCAGGGCGCCCGCCCUCCUUUCCUGGGCGCCCACCCUCUGUUGGAGCCCAAUCAGGACUCUGUUUCUCGGGAGAUCUCCACCGACCUAAAGGAUCAAGGAUAACCGUUCAAUCUAUGUCGGUUUGAUCUGACGGCCCAGGUUCCCUUGAAGGGACUAUAAAACCAGACCCCCUGGCCCCUGGAGGAGGCACCACUUGAUCAUUAUUCAUUAUUCAUAGACAGAGCAAAAGCUAGGGUUUAGAGAUGAGAGCUCUCCUCUCUUCUCUAAACUAGAGUAGAUCUAGAUAGU